RNAcentral lists this ribosomal RNA (397 nucleotides) under uncultured bacterium. Its description in RNAcentral is "partial 16S ribosomal RNA". It matches the Rfam family "Bacterial small subunit ribosomal RNA", at positions 523 to 918 of the family's 1533-position model. The record is from RNAcentral.
AUACGUAGGUGACAAGCGUUAUCCGGAUUUACUGGGCGUAAAGGGCGUGUAGGCGGUCUUGCAAGUCAGAAGUGAAAUUCCUGAGCUCAACUCGGGCGCUGCUUCUGAAACUGCAGGACUUGAGUGCUGGAGGGGAUAGCGGAAUUCCUAGUGGAGCGGUAAAAUGCGCAGGUAUUAGGAAGAACACCGGUGGCGAAGGCGGCUAUCUGGACAGUAACUGACGCUGAGGCGCGAAAGCGUGGGGAGCAAACAGGAUUAGAUACCCUGGUAGUCCACACUGUAAACGAUGAAUGCUAGGUGUAGGAGGUAUCGACCCCUUCUGUGCCGCAGUAAACACAGUAAGCAUUCCGCCUGGGGAGUACGGUCGCAAGAUUAAAACUCAAAUGAAUUGACGGGG